Long non-coding RNA from Cervus elaphus (red deer), 3935 nucleotides. RefSeq lists it as uncharacterized. The transcript is spliced from 3 exons. Lineage: Eukaryota; Metazoa; Chordata; Mammalia; Artiodactyla; Cervidae. The record is from RefSeq and is a predicted model, not a curated record.
GUCAGUAGGCAGGAACACAACUCGAGAGGCCAAAAAUAAGACGGCGGCGAGGGUCACCCUGCUCUUCUGAGCCGGGCGCGGGUGACGGCCCGUGCUGAGCAUUCCACAAUCACACUUCUGUCUGAGGGUGCCCCUUGGUCCCGGGGCAUCGGCCUCCUGGUCGGAAGGUGGCAGAGCCCUGAUUGUGAGCAGUGAGUAAUGAUGACUCAGGAAAAUUCGAAAGGACACAGGGAACACCCCCGAAGUCAUCUGGGGACAGGCCCUGGUUCCCCCUGCCGGUCAGGGAGCCAGGAGUUCUGGCCUCCCAUUGUAAAGGAGGAAUUUCUGAAGUUUUCUCUGGAACUUUGGCAGAAUCCUGUGGGAUCUUUCAGAGGAAGCAUUACGCUUUGGGUGUUUUUCUGGAGGGGAAAUUACUAAGAUUUCUUUCACCUUUGUAGCUAUUUGUGAAUUAGCUCCUCUUCUCUUUUAGCUCCAGAUUAUAUUUGUCUCUCUAUUCUGAUUCGGCAUCUGUUACCUUGUAUGACGAACAGUACUCCCGAAAGCAAGUAAUGACAGUAAUAAUAGCUAACAUUUUUUCAGCCCUUAUGGCAUGCCAGGUACCCAUCUCUCUGUGUAAUUUUUGUGGUUCAUCAAAUCUGAAGCUCCAUCAGUCUCCAGAUAUGCCAUGUAUGGUGUACCACUAAAGAAUACUGCCAAUUAACCCAUGGCAUGCCAUUGAUUUUAAGACUCACUUGGCUUUCAGAAAUGUUAAAACAGGAGCGUUGGAAUCAAUGAAAUGCAGUAACUGAUUCUCAGUUGUCAUCCUUGCCUUACAGCCUUACCAAGGAACAGAGAGGUUGAGUAAACCUGCCUGAUGCCACAGAGCGACUGUGUGGUGGAAAUGGGAUACGAACCCAGAUUCAGGCUCCAAAACCUGGGCGCCUAACCACCGUGCUUCAUUGUGUCUGAGAAGUGGUUUCUGUCUAUCCCCCGGCGGGACAGAAGGAAGGACAAAAAACACAAGAGGGAAAGUUGGACCCCACCCUCUGCUCCCUCUUCCUCAUCGCCCUCAGGGCCAGUGUUGAUGCCCCUUCUGAAAACUGCUCCUCCUCUCACUCCCAGCAGCUGGCUCCCUGGUUCUGUCCUUCCUUGCCUCUCUCUUGCCCCUGCUUGGACUUCUGCAGCAGCCUCUUAGCUGUCACCCUCCUCCGAUCUUUCCCCCACACCUCCACACACACAGACACACACACUGAGACAGUCAUCUUCUUAAAAUGUGAAUCUGGUCUUGUCGCUGUUCCAAAACCUCCGAGAGAUCCACAUCCUAACAAGCGAUUCCUCACUCGUUUAGCUGUUUCAGCACCUACUCUGUGCCCGGCUCAGAGGAUGGAAAGAUAUGCCAAGCCCACAGUUGCUGUCCCUGGCUGGGUGAUGAUCAAGAGACCAGGCGGUAACUAGGCGAUGUAGCAGCCCUUGGAUGUGUCUGGGAAGGGGAGACCCGCUGUCCCCCCGCAGUCUCCAGAGAGAAGCCUGUGUCCACUCUAGAAAUGAAGCAAACAGCAGCCACCGUUAAGGCAGGCAGCCCUAUGUGCCCAGAAGAUGCCCAUUUUCCACUCACCAGGCUGCUCGAGACAGCUCAGAGGGUGAGCGCUAUUCUACAACAUAGCUCCCUGCGCCCCCUCGGGCGCCCCCAGCUCCCCCUACUAGAGGGUCAGCGCCUCUCUGCACUGACGCUAACUGGCUGGCUGCAUCAUGACGGGUGGAGAACACAUUUACAGUGGGGGACGCUAGUGCUCUGACACAAGCAGGGGUCUGGGGUAGAGAGCCGGAGGGUGGCCGGAAGGGGACCCCGGGGCGGCUGAGGGGAGGGGAGCAGCGUGAGGACUCCCCAGAGAGGAGGAGGCAGGUGGAGCCGAAGAGAAAACCUUGGCGGCGUCCCAGUUCAGCUGGGCCAUGGCUCUGUCAAUGGCCGGCUCUCCACCGGCCGGGCCGCUGGCCUGGCCCCGGGCCUGCGGUUUUCCUCAGUAGAGCAGCGGCGGCAGCUUCCGAGAAACCCCACCAAGACUUUCCUGUCAGGGCAACUCCAAGUUCCUCUUCAGGAAGGGGAAGUGGGGGAGUUUCUCCUAAGGGCUUUCAGUUUCUUUCUAAGAAGGUGGAGGGUCCCAACCCCGCAGUGCAGAGCCAGGUGUUAAGGGCAGGGAGGUCCCACGUCAGGGGCUUUCCCACCUCGGGUCCACGGGUGGACCUUCCAAAAGAGGAAAGCAGGCCCGGGUUUUGCAGGUCCUUUCCUGAGCCCCCCUCCUUUCUUCCCCUCCGGGCACACCCCCUGCGCCCCUCCCUGCCCCCACCAACACGUGGAGCAAGUGCACAGAAUGUGGCCUGCCCUCCCUCAGGGACCCGCCAGGUGGAAAUUUAUUUCCUCAGCCCUCCCAGCCAACGUCCUGGGAGCCCUGCUUCCUCGGGGCUCUGCUGGGCGACUCAACAUCUGACCCAGACCAAGGCCCAACAGGUGACACCUGCUUCUUGCCGAUGCUGGGCCAUGGAAGACCUCCAAACUUCUUUGAGGACACACUGUGGGAGCCCCAAGAACUGAGAGCCUGCCUUUUUUUUUUUAAGAAGGCCUGGCUUGGUGGCAAAGCAGAAGUCCUGAUGUGAUUAUAAACAAGAGCCACCGUUGAGGCUAAGCACCUACCGUGUGCCAGCAUUUUACAUGAAUAUCUUCCUGUAACCACCCCCUCUGCCGGGGGCAAUCCCAUGACGAAGACACCAUCGUUACUCCUGAAGUCAAGCAACCUGCCCAUUCACCUGGCCCAGAAGCCCGUUCUUCCCAGUAGACCUCUUCUCAGAAAGGCGGAGAAGAAAGACUAUCAGGCCCUCAGAGGAGCUGGCUGGGAAGGUGUGAUCUCCAAUAUCACCGAUCCUCAAAGCAAGCUCUGAGUGGUGACGAGCCAGCGAUCUAGUUACCGCGGGCUUCGCAGCACGGCCACGGCUGGGGGUCUUCCCGGGACAUCACAAACUCCUGUUUCCUCUUCUAUUUUCCUCUUACAGGCAUCGUGUUAGGGUUUCUGCUUUGCCAACACAUGCGUUAUGGGGACAGUGUGGGGAUUCCCCCAAACCAUGAUGCUGUUCUGCUCAAAAACAUUUGCCUAGAAGUCCACAACUGUGUGACUCACGCUGUUGAGAUGUCAAGAAAACUCACAGCUGCAGGGCGGAGGGGCCGGACCCAAACGGAAGGGGGCUCUCAGAGGGUGAGCAGCUCGGGAAAUAAAGAUACAGGACACCCAGUGACAUAUGAGUUUCAGAUCAACUACAACAUUUGGGAUGCCCUGAUACUAAAAAAAAAAAAAACAAAAAAAACCUGUUGUUUAUCUGAAGUGAAAGUGUGUGUUAGUUGCUCAGUCGAGUCUGACUCUUUGCGACCCCAUGGAUUGUAACCCAAACCAGGGACUGAACCAGUGUCUCUUACAUCUCCUGCAUUGGCAGGCGGGGUUUGUUUGUUUGUUUGUUUGUUUGUUUUUUUAACACUGGCACCACCUUGGAAACCCCAAGGACCUCCUAGGCCUUGGCUUUUCUGGCCUCGUUGAAAAUCUGCUAGAAGCAAGAAGAGGUGGGAAGUAGCCAAAGAGCAGGUUUAGAGACAAGGAAGAGACAGCUCUGCUUGGAAAAAUGCUGUUUCUCCUAUGCCACAGCACCCAAGGAGACUGGGGCGCUGGGACUGGACCCUGGGUGCCUGGAGAGAUCCUCUGGGGUCUGGCCACCCAGCUUUUCAAACACUCAUGGCAACACCUGAGCCACAGGUGUCUGGGAUCAUUGCUAGCUCCCAAAUUAGAAAAGUAUAUUGUAAGGAUGGCUAAAUGGUCUACAAAAUGUUAACUGCGCGAUUGUAACUCAGCUCCUGUACUUUAUGUAAAGUAUAUGUGCUGUGGCACGUGGGUCCAUUUGAAUACAGUUGAGGGAUG